CCUACGGGGGGCAGCAGUGAGGAAUAUUGGUCAAUGGACGAGAGUCUGAACCAGCCAAGUAGCGUGAAGGAUGACUGCCCUAUGGGUUGUAAACUUCUUUUAUAUGGGAAUAAAACGUUCCACGUGUGGGAUUUUGUAUGUACCAUAUGAAUAAGGAUCGGCUAACUCCGUGCCAGCAGCCGCGGUAAUACGGAGGAUCCGAGCGUUAUCCGGAUUUAUUGGGUUUAAAGGGAGCGUAGGUGGUGUGUUAAGUCAGUUGUGAAAGUUUGCGGCGCAACCGUAAAAUUGCAGUUGAAACUGGCAGUCUUGAGUACAGUAGAGGUGGGCGGAAUUCGUGGUGUAGCGGUGAAAUGCUUAGAUAUCACGAAGAACUCCGAUUGCGAAGGCAGUUCACUGGACUGCAACUGACACUGAGGCUCGAAAGUGUGGGUAUCAAACAGGAUUAGAUACCCCAGUAGUC
This 460-nucleotide ribosomal RNA is filed under the name uncultured bacterium. RNAcentral describes it as "partial 16S ribosomal RNA". It matches the Rfam family "Bacterial small subunit ribosomal RNA", at positions 338 to 795 of the family's 1533-position model. The record is from RNAcentral.